RNAcentral lists this ribosomal RNA (484 nucleotides) under uncultured Cytophagaceae bacterium. Its description in RNAcentral is "bacterial SSU rRNA". It matches the Rfam family "Bacterial small subunit ribosomal RNA", at positions 28 to 524 of the family's 1533-position model. Lineage: Bacteria; Pseudomonadati; Bacteroidota; Cytophagia; Cytophagales; Cytophagaceae. The record is from RNAcentral.
GAUGAACGCUAGCGGCAGGCCUAAUACAUGCAAGUCGAACGGACCGCAAGGUCAGUGGCGAACGGGUGCGUAACGCGUAAGGAACCUGCCCCUCACUGGGGGAUAGCUUUGCGAAAGCGAAGGUAAACCCGCAUGGUUCAGUCGAACGGCAUCGUUCGACUGAUAAACAUUUAUGGGUGAGGGAGGGUCUUGCGUCUGAUUAGUUAGUUGGCAGGGUAACGGCCUACCAAGACGAUGAUCAGUAGGGGCUCUGAGAGGAGGGUCCCCCACAUGGGCACUGAGACACGGGCCCAACUCCUACGGGAGGCAGCAGUAGGGAAUAUUGGGCAAUGGGCGAGAGCCUGACCCAGCCAUGCCGCGUGCAGGACGAAGGCCCUCUGGGUUGUAAACGGCUUUUGACGGGGAAGAAACGACCCUUGCGAGGGGCAUUGACGGUACCCACAGAAUAAGCACCGGCUAACUCCGUGCCAGCAGCCGCGGUAAU